RNAcentral lists this long non-coding RNA (206 nucleotides) under Elaeis guineensis (African oil palm). RNAcentral's name for it is "long non-coding RNA (EGUI_LNC059613)". Lineage: Eukaryota; Viridiplantae; Streptophyta; Magnoliopsida; Arecales; Arecaceae. The record is from RNAcentral.
GGCCCGAACUUCUCGUUACUUUGAGGAAGUCUAUUUUCUCCUGCCAGUGUUGAGUUUUCCCUUAGAGACUGAGGAUUUUUGAUAAGAGUUUUCUUCCUCAUUGAGAUGAGAUUCCUUGUGUCUUAGAUGUAGUUCGUUUUUCCCUUAUCUCUGACGUAGCUCGUCACUUUUCCUUUUUCUCUCUUCUUUUUUUUUAUGUUUGGGUG